UACAGGGGGUGCAAACGUUGCUCGGAAUCAUUGGGCGUAAAGCGCACGUAGGCGGUCUGUUAUGUCGGAUGUGAAAGCCCUCGGCUCAACUGAGGAAGUGCAUCCGAAACUGGCAGGCUAGAGUACUAAAGAGGGUCGCGGAAUUCCCGGUGUAGAGGUGAAAUUCGUAGAUAUCGGGAGGAACACCGGUGGCGAAGGCGGCGACCUGGGUAGAUACUGACGCUGAGGUGCGAAAGCGUGGGGAGCGAACAGG
Molecule: ribosomal RNA, 253 nt
Filed under: uncultured bacterium
Lineage: Bacteria
Description: partial 16S ribosomal RNA
Rfam family: Bacterial small subunit ribosomal RNA
Source: RNAcentral